UUGAAACAACGGUUUUCGUACGAUUACCGAAGUUAAGCAACGUUGUGCCUGGUCAGUACCAAGAUAGUUGCCCGCUUGUGAAUACCAGGAGCUGUAA
Acanthosepion pharaonis is the source of this 97-nucleotide non-coding RNA. NCBI's taxonomy places the organism in Eukaryota, Metazoa, Mollusca, Cephalopoda, Sepiida, Sepiidae. The record is from the annotation of a GenBank genome assembly.